UUAAUGUCCCUCUUUUUCCCUAAACCUUUCCUUGUUGAAGUCUGCGCCAUCUGGAAUCAAUAAAAACUAUUACUUUCUUUAGGUUAGUGUUAGCAUGGCACAUCUUUCUCCAUUCACUGACUUUUAAUCCAUAUAUGCCUUUAACAUAAAAUGUAAGAAGUGUUAAAUAAUCUUUGAUAUUGCACAUAAAUCACACUAAAAUGCCUUCAAUAAGUA
Molecule: long non-coding RNA, 216 nt
Filed under: Pan troglodytes (chimpanzee)
Lineage: Eukaryota; Metazoa; Chordata; Mammalia; Primates; Hominidae
Description: long non-coding RNA NONPTRT016684
Source: RNAcentral